Molecule: long non-coding RNA, 1696 nt
Organism: Protopterus annectens (West African lungfish)
Lineage: Eukaryota; Metazoa; Chordata; Ceratodontiformes; Protopteridae
Exons: 4
Source: RefSeq, a predicted model, not a curated record
UUUUCUACACAACAACAAACGAGAGCUGUGAGCUGAGCUGCAUCCUCCCUCUCACACAGGCAGAAGGAAGCAAGGGCCAUAAACUGGAUGAAGUAAAAGACAGUACAAGUCUCCUAUGCUUAGGACAGGCUUUGAACUUUUGGACUAUAAGAUUCUCAGCAACAUUGUAAGCCUGAUGAAUAGGUUUUCCAAGAGGAUGAAUUCAUUCUGAUUGGACAAGAGCAGGGGAAGACAAAAUUCAAGAGGAAGGGGAAAAGAGCUACCUGGACCAAACACACACAGUUGCUUGAACCAAGGAAUGAAAGCGUGUAUAACAUCUAACAUCAUGAAAACUCCGAGAUGGAAUAUGCAGUUUUAAACAAAGAACAUGUAUCAUACUUAGCUGCUAUUGACAGUUACCUCCAUUCUCUACAUAAGAUGACCGAACAUGCUAAUGCCAGGUGCUGUUUUUUAGAACAUGCCUUAGCUGAAAUGGCGUGGUCCAAGGACUUUUGCGUGAUUUGUGGGCUGCUGACUGUCACAGGAUGUAAGAGAACCUAUGUUCUAGGAAAUUCCCAGAAAUCCCACAAUCAGAUUUACAGAGGUCUUCAUGGAUCAAUGCUGAUAUGAAUCAAAUUGUGUUAAUGUACUGGGAUUGUUGUCACAAAUACCCAUUUUAUUGAAUUAUUUUCUUGCCCGCAAGCCAGUCACAUUUUAUGGACCUUUUUAGCAAAAAAGCAGCCAAAUCAUCUAAUCAGUAGGGAAGUUUUUGGAGUAGAUUGAAGAAACCAGAAUACCUAGAAAAAAUAAACACAUGACAUGGAAAGAACAUGCAAACUCCACACAGAGUAAUUAAAGAUUAGGGCUGAAUCCCAAUGUGAUGAGGCAGAAACAUGAACUACUGAGGCACAGUUCUGUCCUUUCUCUUCUCUGUUUUACUAGCAUACUUGACCCUAUUCAAACAAAACCUUUACUACUGGAUGUGAAAUCAUAAAUUUACUCCUGGUCUGGCCCCCAUAUCCCUUAUGGACAGAGGCUGUCAAUAAGAGAAAUAUUGUCCUAACUAACACUCCCCUUACAAAUCCUUACUACCUACUAACAUGUCCCCCCCCCACAUGUGAUACUUGGGACACAAAUGGCUUGAGGUUCGUAGCUAGGCUUGUAAUGGCCUUACUGGUUGUUAGCCUAGUAACAAUCUAUAAACCUAUGAACCUAUGCAUGUCAGUAAUUAGUGAAAUGUAUCAGAUUAUAUACAACAGUUUAAUUGUACAGGAAAAUAACAUGACUAAAACGUCUCAAGCCUCAUCAGCAAUACACAUUUCAAAACUAUCCCUACAUUAUAGGCACCCCUAAGUUUGACUUAAAACUUUGAUUCAUCCCUCUUACAGUAGGACAUCUUUGAGGAGUUCCAAGUUAACUGUAUCAGUAUUUAAAAAUGUCACUAAUUUGGGGCCUUCUUCUGAAUUAUUUUUUGCUUUGUCCCUAAUUUUGUUGGUAAAAGGUUGAAAACUAUGUAGCAGUACAGCUGAAUUAUAGGAUUUAGAAGUACAAUGUAGAAAGGUUAAAUUCUUAACUAUAUUUGUGUUGCACUCAAGCUUCUACUGCCCGUAAUUUUUAAGGAAAUAAAUGUACUUUGGAAUUGCUGUCUUUCUGCUUGUAACGAUAAUCAUUUCUUUAUUGUCUCAAUUCACUUGUUAUUAUUUACUUAACAUUUGUU